This 75-nucleotide transfer RNA is filed under the name Alosa alosa (allis shad). Its description in RNAcentral is "tRNA-OTHER". Lineage: Eukaryota; Metazoa; Chordata; Actinopteri; Clupeiformes; Clupeidae. The record is from RNAcentral.
GCGAUGGUAGCAUAGUGGCUAAGGAUCUGGGCUAGCAAGCCUGAUCUGUUGUGGGUUCAAUUCCCGGCUUUCACC